ACUCAAAUGAAUUGACGGGGACCCGCACAACUGGUGGAGCGUGUGGUUUAAUUCGAGACGAAGCGAAACACCUUACCAGGGCUUGACAUGCUACCGUUUUAUACCUUUUGAAAGAUUGGUAGAUCCGCAAGGAUGGUAGCACAGGUGAUGCAUGGCUGUCGUCAGCUCGUGUCGUGAGAUGUUCCCUUAAGUGGGGAAACGAGCGCAACCCCCGUGAAAUGUUAAAUAUUCAUUUCAGACGGUCCCGAUCAUAUCGGGAAGGAAGGAGGGGAAGACGUCAAGUCAGCACGUCCCUUAUGCCCUGGGUUACACACACCCUACAAUGGCGAAUAACAAAGAGCCGCAAGUACGCGAGUGCAAGCAAAUCUCUAAAAUUUCGCCUCAGUUCAGAUUGGAGUCUGCAACCCGACUCCAUGAAGGAGGAAUCAGUAGUAAUCGCGGAUCAGCAGGCCGCGGUGAAUACGUUCUCGGGUCUUGUACACACCGCCCGU
This 491-nucleotide ribosomal RNA is filed under the name uncultured bacterium. RNAcentral's name for it is "partial 16S ribosomal RNA". It matches the Rfam family "Bacterial small subunit ribosomal RNA", at positions 899 to 1397 of the family's 1533-position model. The record is from RNAcentral.